Non-coding RNA from Pelobates cultripes (western spadefoot toad), 5912 nucleotides. NCBI's taxonomy places the organism in Eukaryota, Metazoa, Chordata, Amphibia, Anura, Pelobatidae. The record is from the annotation of a GenBank genome assembly.
CUAGAUUUUUUUUCUCUACAUAAAUAAUGCAAAUAAAUGAAGUAAAGAUUAUACAAAUCACUAACUAAAAUUAAAAAAUAAAAACAAUAGAAAGACAUUACAUUAAUAAUCAAAUAAAAAUAGGAUAAAAGUUUACUUACAGUCAAUGUGCAGCCAGAUUCCGUUAGGGGAAAUUCUUCUUCGGUACUCCGUCUUCAGUGAGAGAGUCUCUCUCACACACUGGCCUCCGAGGAAUAAAACAUCUCAGCAUAGUCUAUAAUGCAGGCACGCUCACAUCUGAGCUGCCUGCAUUACAAGGGAAUGACGUUAGACGUCCAAGAGGAUGCCUGACAUCAGCUCACUGUGAUUCUAACAGUGAGGAUUGAGGAAGCACCCUCUAGUGGCUGUCUUAGAGACAGCCACUGGAGGUGGGAAUAGGGACAAAAAAAUACACUGCAUUUUCUCAGAAACGGCAGUGUAUUUAAAAAAAAAAAAAAAAAAAAAGUAGAGGUACCUGGCACCAAGACAACUUCAUUGAAAUGAAGUUGUCUUGGUGCCUAGAGUGGUCCUUUAAUGGAUGGAUUCUACAGGCAAUAUCUUUUCUUUAUACCAAUCCCUCAGCUAGGAUAAUAGGAUCGGGAAUUACUUCUUCUUGGUUUAAAGUUCAAAAUGGAACUAGGUAGGGUUGCCCCCUCUCCCCUAUGCUAUAUAUAGAGCCCUUAUCCCAAUAUAUUAGAAUGAAUAAAAACAUCAAGGGAAUUCAAUAUGAAUAUAGAGAGUCAAAAUUAAGUUUGUAUACUGAUGAUGUCAUAAUGACACUAACAGACCCUGAACAUUCUAUUAAUCAUCUCCUUAAAGAAUUAUUUGGUAAUAUGUCAAAUUACAAGCUUAAUACAUCCAAAUCAACCAUUAUGAGCUGGAAUCUAGACAAAGAUUGCAUAGACAUUUUAAAGAGAGAAUAUAGCUUUAAAUGGGAAACUGAAAGCAUUGAAUAUCUAGGCAUAAUACUUCUCAAGCAAAAAAUUUAAUCAAAGCCAAUUGGGAGGUACUGUUAAAUCAGACUACCAGAUUGCUUAAUGACUGGAAGUCUUUGGAACUUUCAUGGCUGGGACGAAUUAACGUCAUACAAUCCUAUGUACUUCCAAUUUGGAAUUAUCUCUUUGGAGUGAUUCCCACAUGUCUAUAUAGGUCGAAUCUUUUGAAAAUACAGAGAAUAUUCACUGACUAUAUAUCUAAAGGGAAAAAGCCGAGAAUAAAAUGCGAGAUAUUAGAGAAAAGUAUAAAUAAAGGUGGACUAGCUAUCCCCAAUAUAAAAAAAUACCAUGAUGCUGCGAUCCUUAAACAUAUUUCUAAAUGGUUUAAAAUGGAAUCUAAAGAUUUUUGGUAUGAUAUUAAGAAAUUUAUGUUGGAAAUAUCGGAUCUUUCCUUCAUAUUGUGGAUGCAUCCUAAAAGAUUGGGUAUUGACAAAAUUUUAGAUAAUAAAAGUGGGAAAAACUAUUUUACUUAUCAAAUCCUAAAGUUCUGGUUCAGAUUUAAGAUAGAACACAAGCUAUCACGGGCUAAUAGUAUCAGAGCUAAGAGUAGCAUAGAUCUUCUAGAAUAUAAUAUGGAAGAAAUUAAUUUAUCUACAUAGAAAAAUAAUGGUAUAAAUGCUUUAAUAGAUAUCUUAAAUGGCUCUCAUAUUAAAUCUUUUCAUGAAAUAGCUCUUGAAUUCCAUAUACCCCCCAAAAAAGUUCCCUCCUAUCUGAGAAAUAUUACAUGGAAAAAAGAUAAUGAAAUCAUAGGACUAGAUUUCUUAAAAUAUGGAGAAAAUGUUAGAACUUUAAUGAAAAGCCCUAUUUUUGAUGAUGAAGAUCCAUCUAGAGUAAACCCAGUUAAUUGCAUUAUAAAUAAAGAGAAAAGUGAUCUUGAAAUGGAGAUUCUAAUUUCAGACUGGUAUAAGAUCAUACCAAAAGUCAAGAAAUCUAUACAUUGCCUCAAUCUUAUAGAGUUACAAUACAAUAUAUUAACUAAAUGGCAUUUGGAUCCAAAGAAAAUCAAUAAGAUGUUCCCUACAUAUUCCUCUCUUUGUUGGCGAUGUAAUCAUCUAGAAAGUUCCUAUAUUCAUAUCUGGUGGAAUUGUCAGAAAUUAAAACCCUUUCGGGAAUUAACAUAUAACAUAUUAGAGAAACGUACGGAUGCUCAUAUACUUUUUCCUCCCAAAACUUCCCUAUUACACCUUGAUUGGCCUAAAUUGUUGCAAAACAACGGAUAUAUAGCUACUCAUAUUCUGAUAGCAGCAAAAAAAUGUAUUGUUAAAUCUUGGAAGCAGAAAGAGUCUCCAACAUGGGCAAUAUAAUAUUGGAAUAACUUUAUCCAGGAAGCUUAAGUUAUAUACCCUAUAACGGACUCCCCCAUACUCUGACCGAGUACCCUCCGUUGAUGAACGCUUUCAGGCUUGCGCCUGCCACAAGCACUGCACCGGACACCACAACCACUGCAGACUCCACAACCGCCGUAGCUUAACUGGAGUCCCGCCGUCUUCCUUCCACCCUGGAUCAGCCUCUGUCCUCCAGGACCGUGUGGGAAAGACCUCUCCUCGAGGAGAGCAUAUCAGGAACAGCUCUUAGAAGAGCUAAGUGAUUAAAGCUCAGGGGAGUAUAUAAGUAUAGCAAUCCCCAGUGUGAGUAUAGCUGCCCCCUCCAAUCACGAGACAAGACUACGUGUUGAGGAUCAAGAAGAUCUCUCUUAAUCAGCACCAAAGGGCUUUCUUUUAUGCAAGUUUUACACACAAAGUACCACCCACAUGGUUUUGUAGAACAGCCAAUCAAACACGUACAAUAGAGUAAAACACUCCCAUUCAUUUCAGCAAAAUCCUCCCCUCUGCCUGUGAUAUAAUUACUGUACACAAUGGGUUAAUGUAAUUAUCACAGGCAGAAAAAAUACAGUUUUUAUACAAUACUCAUAACUCACAAAAUAUACAUACAAUCUCCAUACAUAUUAUUAAUCAGCAUACUUCAAAUACAAACAUACCCAAAAAUCAGACAAUUCCCUCCAGUCGUUAAAAAGUUAGCUGGAAGUCAUUUUUGACCGACCCCAAGCAUGCUUUCCUGCCCAAAACAGUUUCAGAUUUGGGCUGUGCAGUCGGUAAUUUCACUCAGAAAAAUUACUAAGUCCCAUUCGAAUGCACGAACGGGGCAAUGUUCGUGCAAGUAGUUUAGUCUAACUGUGCGUUUGAAUUAUCGAACGGAACUUCGUUUUCAGCUGAAGCGUCGAAGUGGAGCAGAAAGUAAGGGUCAGCUGUGUUUGUGCAAAUGUGUAGCCGAUUUUAGUACCAUGGAUUUGGCUGCACACAUGGCUGACUGCGUUCGAACAGCAGCCCCCCAGCAGUCGGAAAUUAACCUUGCGGUUGACCACCAGCCUCGGAGGUAAACUGGCUGCACACUUCCCCUUGUGUGGUCCGCCUGUGCAAUAAAUGAUUCAGUAAGCGACAAUUACUGAACCAUAUGGGGAAAAGCAAUGUACAAGUUAUUUUCACAGUCUGGGGACUCUGGGGGCACAGUUUUAAAGGGGCAUUGUUCCAAUUCUCCCUAUGUCACAAAAAUGUGCUUAAAGGGGCAGCACCAGUCCCAUAAAAAUCCAUAAGCCCCAAUAAUGUUUUUAAAGGGCCAUACACCCCUGGGCCAUAGUCACAGGGCAGGAGGCUGGCAAGCAGGCCUCUCCAGGACCAAGUGGCGAAGGGCACUUCGUCACAUAGCCUAAAAUAAAAGUUGAGAAAAUUCUGAAUGGUUGUAUAUCAAUUUUUAUUUAGUAUCUUGAGAUACCUCCCCGCAUCUCUCUACCCUCCCUACUCCUUCGGGAUUGUGCGAUAGGGGUUCAGUGUAUAAAAUAUGGCUAAAAUGUAGGAUGUGUGAUAUCGAGAUUUAAAUUGUGAAACCUUUAUUGCAUUUACUUAUUUUUAUCUUCUUUAUAUAAUGAUUAGAGACCAUUGUGUUUUGCUUUGUCUUUUUAUGUUUCAAAGUUUGUCAGUGUCUUAGUAUUAUUAAAUCAUAGUAGACUGACCAAUAUGUUGACUUGAUUAAUAAGUUUAUUAAGACUGUUAAGGGUCUUGGGAUGUCAAAUUUUAUAUUUUCGAUGAUAUGUGAUUGUUUGUCCUUUUUUUAUCUGAAAAAAAAUUAAUAAACAUUUAUAUUUAUUAAAAAAAAGACACCUUGUCAUCUAUCUUGUCUAAACUUCAUUCGCGUAACAAGAGCAUGACCAAGAUAGAAACCAUCAUCCCUAACGCAUCUAAUGUUCUAUCCCCCACACCUGCACCCUCAAACACACAAAGUAAUGCCAUUACUAUUACUCCCUCCACUUCACACGUCAUCGCCCGUGCACAUUCGGUUCCAGCUUCCAUUAAGAAAGAUAUUCUAGAUGGCAAGGAUGUCAGCCUAGUAUCACUCCUUUUUGCUUUGCAGGACAUUUUAGAAAAUAGAGCUUUUAAUUACGGAGAUAUUUCUGUGAUGCUUAAAACAAUGGACUCAUGUCUUAAUAAAAACUCUCAAUCCCCGAAUUCGUUCUCAGCUUUAGACUAUAUGUCAUCUGCUCUGUAUACCCUCAGAGGCAAGAGGAAUUCGACCUCUGUUUACACAAGGUGGUGGAUUUAAGGCACAAGUACGGAAAUUCCGCUUUCUACGAUUACCUCAAGUCGGUAUCAUCUAAAGCAGCAGCAGCUCUGGCCCAGUCAACACUCAUAUCGAUUGGAGUCAGUUGGACAUAGAGCUGUUCUGCAGGCAUUUUGCUGGCUUGAGACCCCCAUCUUGUGCGGUUUGUUCUUCUACCUCACACACUCCUCCAACCCACACCCCAACCGGUGCCCUAGGUACUGCACCUCAGCCAUCCUCAGAUGGCACUUGCUGGGCUUUAGGGUCAAUCCUGCUUCCCUAAUUCUGUUUAGUUCAGCCCCUACAUGUAUCCCAAAAUGCAUUACCUUAAACUGGUACAGGCCAAAGGGGUUGACGAAGGCAGACUUGGGAACGGCAUCUGCUGCUAGGGGAAUCUGCCCCUUACACAGGUCGAUGGUAGUGAGGUACUGGUCUCGGGCCAUACUAUCCGGAAGCUCGUCUAUACGGAGCAUGGGGUAUGCAUCGGAGAUGGUUUUAUCUUUGAGCCUCCUGUAAUCCACUCAGAACCGGGUAGUCCCAUCUCGCUUCGGGACCAGGAUGACUGGGGAGACCCAAGGACUUGUGGACGGUUCUAUGACCCCUAGCCGGAGCAUCUCCUGCAGCAUAUUCCCCCAUACAACCUUUGGUACCUGGUAUGGGGCUUGCCGCAGAGACUGUUGGUCGGGGGUCUCCACUCUGUGGGUGGCUAAUGGGGUAUACCCUGGCAGAUUGGAGAACGUGGCUCUCUUUACGGACAGCAUCUGCUGUGCCUGUCUGCGUUCCCUCUCAGUUAGUCAGUCCCCUAAGUGGAACUCCUCAAUGGACCCUGCCUAGGCUCACUCCUCCAGGAUGUCAGGCAGGUGAAGAUCUUCAGAGGCUGGAGUACAUUUAGCGGCUACAUCCUCUGUCCGCUCGUGGUAGGGCUUAAGCAAGUUAGCAUGCAACAGGCGUCGGACUCCAGUACCUGAGCACGGGCCGAUCACAUAUGCACAUUUCUGUUCCACCACCUGCAGCCUGUCAUGUUAGACGGGUUUCAGCACAAAAACCUUCUGCCUGACUUGAAAGCUGCAGCUCCUGGUGCCCUGAUUAUACAAAGUGUGCUGUUGUCACUGGGCCACCUGGAGGUUCUCCCGCACCAGAUGGGUGAGUUCCUCCAGCACAAAUGGGACGAUGGGGUUCCCUUCCUGUUCUCCAGCUCCCUCCCAUUGCUCCUGGUCUAGGUCUAGGGGCCUUCCCACUCUCCGCCUGAAUAUCAGCUUGAACGAAGAAAACCCGGUAGAUUCCUGGGGCACCUCCCGGGAAGCGAAC